CCUACGGGAGGCAGCAGUCGGGAAUUUUGGGCAAUGGGGGAAACCCUGACCCAGCAACGCCGCGUGAAGGAUGAAGUAUUUCGGUAUGUAAACUUCGAAAGAAUAGGAAGAAUUAAUGACGGUACUAUUUAUAAGGUCCGGCUAACUACGUGCCAGCAGCCGCGGUAGUACGUAGGGACCAAGCGUUGUUCGGAUUUACUGGGCGUAAAGGGCGCGUAGGCGGCGCGGUAAGUCACUUGUGAAAUCUCUGAGCUUAACUCAGAACGGCCAAGUGAUACUGCAGUGCUAGAGUGUGGAAGGGGCAAUCGGAAUUCUUGGUGUAGCGGUGAAAUGCGUAGACAUCAAGAGGAACACCUGAGGUGAAGACGGGUUGCUGGGCCAACACUGACGCUGAGGCGCGAAAGCCAGGGGAGCAAACGGGAUUAGAUACCCCGGUAGUCCUGGCCCUAAACGAUGAAUACUUGGUGUCUGGAGUUUUAAUGCUCCGGGUGCCGUCGCUAACGUUUUUAGUAUUCCGCCUGGGGAGUACGCUCGCAAGAUUGAAACUCAAAGGAAUUGACGG
Molecule: ribosomal RNA, 562 nt
Filed under: uncultured bacterium
Lineage: Bacteria
Description: bacterial SSU rRNA
Rfam family: Bacterial small subunit ribosomal RNA
Source: RNAcentral